AAACAAUUUAUAGUUAAUGUAUCAUAAUUAUUAUGAAAUUGUUUGUAGAAAUGAGAUGUUAUUCGUUUCCUAAAAUAUCUAGUUUCUUAAGAAAAAAUUUAAUUUUUUAUAGUUUUCUUGUUUUUAUUUAAUUAUUUAGAUGAAAAUGUGAACUAAUUUAUUCUUUUGGGGAUAAGCUCUAAAGUUUUUAACCUAUAAUUUAUUGAUUAUUAGAAUAUAAUAGUAAGCUUUAAACCAGCUAUCUAUUGGAUUACGUUUUAGUUCAUUGUUCUUUUUCUUGAUUUUAUAAUUAUUUUAGGUUUUUUAUUAAGAUAAUCAAUUUAAUUUUAAAAUUUUGGUAAUAAUGAUGGAAUUAGUAUAUUUAUUUUGUUUAUAAUAUCUGUUUUGUUAAUUUAUUAUAAGGAACUAGGCAAAAUUGAUUUCCGCCUGUUUAUCAAAAACAUGUCCUCUUGAUAAUAUUAUGAGGUCUGGCCUGCUCACUGACGAGUUUUGAAGAGCCGCGGUAUUUUGACCGUGCAAAGGUAGCAUAAUCAUUAGUCUCUUAAUUAGGGGCUGGAAUGAAUGGCUUGACGAGAAAUCAACUGUCUCUUAAUAAAUUCUAGAAUUUAACUUUUGAGUCAAAAGGCUUAAAUUUUUCUUUAGGACGAGAAGACCCUAUAGAGCUUGACAUCUUACUUUUAUAUAGUUUUUAGUUGGUCUUUCUAUAUAAAAUGAUAAUGUUUUGUUGGGGUGACAUGAAGAAUAAAUAAACUCUUCAUUAUAUAAUCAUUAAUUUAUGUUUAUUAUGAUCCAUAAUUUAUGAUCACAAGAUUGAGUUACCUUAGGGAUAACAGCGUAAUUGUUUUUGAGAGCUCAUAUCGACAAAACAGAUUGCGACCUCGAUGUUGGAUUAAGAAAAAUGUUGG
RNAcentral lists this ribosomal RNA (905 nucleotides) under Shirakiacris shirakii. RNAcentral describes it as "partial large subunit ribosomal RNA". The stretch from base 384 to 630 matches the Rfam family "Archaeal large subunit ribosomal RNA", at positions 1784 to 2143 of the family's 2987-position model. Lineage: Eukaryota; Metazoa; Arthropoda; Insecta; Orthoptera; Acrididae. The record is from RNAcentral.